This 253-nucleotide ribosomal RNA is filed under the name uncultured bacterium. RNAcentral's name for it is "partial 16S ribosomal RNA". It matches the Rfam family "Bacterial small subunit ribosomal RNA", at positions 524 to 776 of the family's 1533-position model. The record is from RNAcentral.
UACGAAGGGGGCUAGCGUUGCUCGGAAUCACUGGGCGUAAAGGGCGCGUAGGCGGCCAUUCAAGUCGGAGGUGAAAGCCCAGGGCUCAACCCUGGAAUUGCCUUCGAUACUGUUUGGCUAGAGACCGGAAGAGGUAAGUGGAACUGCGAGUGUAGAGGUGAAAUUCGUAGAUAUUCGGAAGAACACCAGUGGCGAAGGCGACUUACUGGACACAUAUUGACGCUGAGGUGCGAAAGCGUGGGGAGCAAACAGG